Molecule: ribosomal RNA, 497 nt
Filed under: uncultured bacterium
Lineage: Bacteria
Description: partial 16S ribosomal RNA
Rfam family: Bacterial small subunit ribosomal RNA
Source: RNAcentral
GAUGAACGCUGGCGGCGUGCCUAAUACAUGCAAGUCGAGCGAACAGACGAGGAGCUUGCUCCUCUGACGUUAGCGGCGGACGGGUGAGUAACACGUGGAUAACCUACCUAUAAGCCUGGGAUAACUUCGGGAAACCGGAGCUAAUACCGGAUAAUAUCUUUAACCGCAUGGUUCAAUAGUGAAAGACGGCUUUGCUGUCACCUAUAGAUGGAUCCGCGCCGCCUUAGAGAGUUGGUAAGGUAACGGCUCCCCAAGCCAACGAGGCGUAACCGACCGGAUAGGAUAUCCGGCACCAAUGGAACGAGGACACGGAGCAGACUCCUAAGGAAGCCAGCAGGAGGGAAUCUUCGGAAAUGGAGGAACACCUGACGGACAAACGCCCCGUGAGUGAUGAGGGUCUUCGGAUCGAAAAAGUCCGUUAUAAGGGAGGAACAUAUGUGUAAGGAAAGAUGCACGACGUGACGGUACAUAAUCAGAAAGCCACGGCUAACUACGUG